GAAGCUGGAAUUGCUGUAAUGGCAGGUCAGCAUACUGCCGUGAAUACGUUCCCGGGCCUUGUACACACCGCCCGUCACACCAUGAGAGUUGGGAAUACCCGAAGCCUGUGAGCUAACUUAUAGAGGCAGCAGUCGAAGGUAGAAUCAAUGAUUGGGGUGAAGUCGUAACAAGGUAGC
Molecule: ribosomal RNA, 177 nt
Filed under: uncultured bacterium
Lineage: Bacteria
Description: partial 16S ribosomal RNA
Rfam family: Bacterial small subunit ribosomal RNA
Source: RNAcentral